This 405-nucleotide ribosomal RNA is filed under the name uncultured Caulobacteraceae bacterium. Its description in RNAcentral is "bacterial SSU rRNA". It matches the Rfam family "Bacterial small subunit ribosomal RNA", at positions 354 to 776 of the family's 1533-position model. Lineage: Bacteria; Pseudomonadati; Pseudomonadota; Alphaproteobacteria; Caulobacterales; Caulobacteraceae. The record is from RNAcentral.
GUGGGGAAUCUUGCGCAAUGGGCGAAAGCCUGACGCAGCCAUGCCGCGUGAAUGAUGAAGGUCUUAGGAUUGUAAAAUUCUUUCAGCAGGGACGAUAAUGACGGUACCUGCAGAAGAAGCCCCGGCUAACUUCGUGCCAGCAGCCGCGGUAAUACGAAGGGGGCUAGCGUUGCUCGGAAUUACUGGGCGUAAAGGGCGCGUAGGCGGGUCGUUUAGUUGGGGGUGAAAGCCCAGGGCUCAACCCUGGAAUUGCCUUCAAUACUGGCGGCCUUGAGUAUGGCAGAGGUGUGUGGAACUCCGAGUGUAGAGGUGAAAUUCGUAGAUAUUCGGAAGAACACCAGUGGCGAAGGCGACACACUGGGCCAUUACUGACGCUGAGGCGCGAAAGCGUGGGGAGCAAACAGG